UACGGCUCAGUAACACGUCAAUAAUCUGCCCUUAGGUCAGGCAUAACCUUGGGAAACUGAGGCUAAUUCCUGAUAGAAGAUCGAUACUGGAAUGUUCUUUUGUUCAAAAGCAAUGCCUAAGGAUGAGUUGGCGGCUGAUUAGGCUGUUGGUAGUGUAAUGGACUACCAAACCUUUGAUCAGUAGGGGCCUUGAGAGAGGUAGCCCCGAGAAGGGUACUGAGACACUGACCCUAGCCCUACGGGGUGCAGCAGGCGCGAAAAUUUUACAAUGUACGUAAGUGCGAUAAAGGAACUCCAAGUGCUCAUGCUUUGCAUGGGCUUUUGCCAAAUGUAAAUAAUUUGGCGAAUAAGUGGUGGGUAAGACUGGUGCCAGCCGCCGCGGUAAUACCAGCGCCACGAGUGGGAAUCAUGUUUAUCGGGCCUAAAGCGUUCGUAGCUGGUUUAGUAAGUUUUGAGUGAAAUCGUUGCGCUUAACAAAACGACGUGCUUAAAAUACUACUGGACUUGAGACCGGGAGGGGUUAAGAGUAUUUCGGAGGGAGCGGUAAAAUGUUAUAAUCUUCGAAAGACUGCCUGUGGCGAAGGCGCUUAACCAGAACGGGUCUGACAGUGAGGAACGAAAGCCAGGGGAGCAAAGCGGAUUAGAUACCCGCGUAGUCCUGGCCGUAAACGCUGCGAGCUAGAUGUUGCAUGUUCUACUUGAAUAUGCAGUAUCGAAAGGAAGCUGUUAAGCUCGCCGCCUGGGAAGUAUGGUCGCAAGACUGAAACUUAAAGGAAUUGGCGGGGGAGCAC
Molecule: ribosomal RNA, 791 nt
Filed under: uncultured archaeon
Lineage: Archaea
Description: bacterial SSU rRNA
Rfam family: Archaeal small subunit ribosomal RNA
Source: RNAcentral